RNAcentral lists this ribosomal RNA (497 nucleotides) under uncultured bacterium. Its description in RNAcentral is "partial 16S ribosomal RNA". It matches the Rfam family "Bacterial small subunit ribosomal RNA", at positions 28 to 507 of the family's 1533-position model. The record is from RNAcentral.
GAUGAACGCUGGCGGCGUGCCUAACACAUGCAAGUCGAACGGAAAGACGAUGAGUUUGUUCGCUUGACGUUUGCGGCGGGCGGGUGAGUAACGCGUGGAUCACCCCCUUAUCUUACGGGGAUCAUUACGGGACUCCGGAUAUAAUACGAGAUAAUAUACUGAACCGCGUGGUGCAAUAGAGAAUGUCGGCUUUGCUGUCUGUAAUCGCUGCUUCCGGGCUGCAUUAGCUGGUUGGUAGGGUAACGGCCUAUCAAGGCGACGAUGCGUGGCCGAACUGAGAGGCUGAUAGGCCACACGGGAGCUGGGACACGGUCAAGACUCCUACGGGAGGCAGCAGUAGGGAAUGUGCGGCAAUGGGCGAAAGCCUGACGGAGCAACGCCGCGUGAGUGAAGAAGGCCUUCGGUUCGUAAAGCCCUGUUAUUGGGGAAGAACAGAUGUGGAAGGAAAUGUAGCCGUCGUGACGGUACCUAAUCAAGAAGCACCGGCUAACUACGUG